RNAcentral lists this ribosomal RNA (518 nucleotides) under uncultured thermophilic aerobic biofilm eubacterium SCBP-D7. Its description in RNAcentral is "bacterial SSU rRNA". It matches the Rfam family "Bacterial small subunit ribosomal RNA", at positions 28 to 526 of the family's 1533-position model. The record is from RNAcentral.
GACGAACGCUGGCGGCGUGCCUAAUACAUGCAAGUCGAGCGGACGAUUCAAAAGCUUGCUUUUGGAUCGUUAGCGGCGGACGGGUGAGUAACACGUGGGCAACCUGCCCUGUAGACGGGGAUAACACCGAGAAAUCGGUGCUAAUACCGGAUAACACGAAAGACCGCAUGGUCUUUCGUUGAAAGGCGGCGCAAGCUGUCGCUACAGGAUGGGCCCGCGGCGCAUUAGCUAGUUGGUGAGGUAACGGCUCACCAAGGCGACGAUGCGUAGCCGACCUGAGAGGGUGAUCGGCCACACUGGGACUGAGACACGGCCCAGACUCCUACGGGAGGCAGCAGUAGGGAAUCUUCCGCAAUGGACGAAAGUCUGACGGAGCAACGCCGCGUGAGCGAAGAAGGCCUUCGGGUCGUAAAGCUCUGUUGUUAGGGAAGAACAAGUACCGCAGUCACUGGCGGUACCUUGACGGUACCUAACGAGGAAGCCACGGGUAACUACGUGCCAGCAGCCGCGGUAAUAAU